Molecule: ribosomal RNA, 1167 nt
Filed under: Triticum aestivum (bread wheat)
Lineage: Eukaryota; Viridiplantae; Streptophyta; Magnoliopsida; Poales; Poaceae
Description: partial small subunit ribosomal RNA
Source: RNAcentral
AUGGAGCAUCACUCAGCCCUAAGGCAUAUAUCCUUCCUCCUCCUCCUCCCUCUCCUGGCCAGCAUGCAUUAUGGUCAGGCCAACCCUGGUCCUCGCUUGAUCCAUUCCAUCUUCAGCUUCGGCGACUCGUAUGCCGACACUGGCAACUUUGUCAAGCUCGCUGCGCCUGUGUUUCCGGUCAUCCCUUUCAGUAACCUCCCCUAUGGGGAGACCUUCUUCGGUCGCCCCACCGGCCGAGCCUCCAAUGGCCGCAUCAUCAUGGACUUUAUUGCUGACGAGUUCGGGCUCCCUUUUGUCCCCCCGAUUCUCGGUGAAGAAACUAACUUCACCCAUGGAGCAAACUUCGCUGUCGUCGGCGCUACGGCACUCGACCUAGCCUACUUCCACGAGAAGAACAUCACAAGUGUACCCCCUUUCAACAGCUCCUUAAGCGUGCAGCUCGACUGGUUCCAGAACCUCAAGCCCACCUUGUGCUCAACACCACAAGGUUGCAGAGACUAUUUCAGGGGAUCCCUCUUCUUUAUGGGAGAGAUCGGAGGGAACGACUACACCUUCAUCAUGGCCUCCGGCAAAACCUUUGGCCUGGUAUACGUCCGAGACGUCGUACAAGCCAUCUCAGACGGCGUUGAGCAACUAGUUAAGGAGGGAGGCAGGAACGUGGUGGUGCCUGGGCAACCGCCAAUGGGGUGCAUUCCCAUCGUUCUGACCUUGUACGCCAGCCCGAACAAGACACACUACGACCGCCGGGGGUGCCUGAUAAAAUACAAUGCUCUAGCGCGCUACCACAACAGACUGCUGGUGGCGGCCGUGUAUCGGCUCCGGAUCAAGUACCCCGAGGCCAAGAUCGUCUAUGGUGACUACUACACUCCAGUGAUAGAGUUUCUCAAUGAACCAACAAGAUACGGGUUUAGUGCUUCGUCGGGGCUCCAGGUGUGCUGUGGAGCAGGUGGGCCAUAUAACUACGACAUGACAGUGGCUUGCGGGUUUCCUGGCGCGAGCGCAUGCACUAACCCCGACACGCACAUCAACUGGGACGGUAUCCACCUCACGGAGUCUGCAUAUAGGCUCAUCGCCACCGGUUGGCUCUUGGGGCCCUUACGCACAUCUGCGCCUAUUCUGGAGGCCAUGUCAGGAUCUCAGGAUCUCAAGACAUCUUCAAUCUUAUAA